UUCUUUUUUUUUUUUUUUUCAUAUUUUAUUUGGGAGUGAGUUUGCAUCUCUUGUUUCAGUCCAGCUUUUCUGAUUUUACAUAGUGUAACAUCACUUUUGCCCUUCCAAUGUCCUCAUAAACAUAGUUCUGAAUUGUUAUUUGGUGCAUUUUGAUUAUAAGAGUAAUUUUGUUAUUCACAUUGUGGUGUCAUGUAUUACUUUGUAAGCGAAGCAAAUUAGCAUUGCCUAAUUAUGAUGUCUAAAGCAUCAAAGUCUAGGCACAUUGAAGAAAUUGACAAUUUUAGGAAAUUUGUUGUGGGUGGUUAUCAAAUUCUAGAAAUUAUUUUUUAUUUAUUUUUCCCCAAUUAUAUGUACAUUUUUAGCAUUGGACUUGAGUGUUUA
This 381-nucleotide unclassified non-coding RNA is filed under the name Hevea brasiliensis (rubber tree). Lineage: Eukaryota; Viridiplantae; Streptophyta; Magnoliopsida; Malpighiales; Euphorbiaceae. The record is from RNAcentral.